AGUGAACGCUGGCGGUAGGCCUAACACAUGCAAGUCGAACGGCAGCACAGUAAGAGCUUGCUCUUACGGGUGGCGAGUGGCGGACGGGUGAGGAAUACAUCGGAAUCUACUUUUUCGUGGGGGAUAACGUAGGGAAACUUACGCUAAUACCGCAUACGACCUACGGGUGAAAGCAGGGGAUCUUCGGACCUUGCGCGAUUGAAUGAGCCGAUGUCGGAUUAGCUAGUUGGCGGGGUAAAGGCCCACCAAGGCGACGAUCCGUAGCUGGUCUGAGAGGAUGAUCAGCCACACUGGAACUGAGACACGGUCCAGAAUCCUACGGGAGGCAGCAGUGGGGAAUAUUGGACAAUGGGCGCAAGCCUGAUCCAGCCAUACCGCGUGGGUGAAGAAGGCCUUCGGGUUGUAAAGCCCUUUUGUUGGGAAAGAAAAGCAGCAGGUUAAUACCCCGCUGUUCUGACGGUACCCAAGGAAUAAGCACCGGCUAACUUCGUG
Molecule: ribosomal RNA, 492 nt
Filed under: uncultured bacterium
Lineage: Bacteria
Description: partial 16S ribosomal RNA
Rfam family: Bacterial small subunit ribosomal RNA
Source: RNAcentral